Molecule: non-coding RNA, 200 nt
Organism: Clostridium tepidiprofundi DSM 19306
Lineage: Bacteria; Bacillati; Bacillota; Clostridia; Eubacteriales; Clostridiaceae
Source: Rfam
AAGAACUAAUAGUUUGAAAAGUCAAAUGAGAGGGUAACGCCUUGAAGGGUUUUCUCUAAUACUCCGAAUGGCGAAAUUUUUAUUAAGAAGGAUAACGUCAUAAGCUCGGUGAAGUCGGCUGAGAUUACACCCUAACGUGUAAUGAUGAGGAAAAGCGAACCAGAGGUGGUCGAGUGUAAGAUAGGUCGGGAGUCUAUAAA